GGGUACGAUCAUACUCGCACUAAUGCACCUGAUCCCAUAAGAACUCCGCAGUGAAGCGUGCUUGGGCGAGAGUAGUACUAGGAUGGGUGACCUCCCGGGAAGCUCUCGUGUUGCACCCC
This 119-nucleotide ribosomal RNA is filed under the name Brassica oleracea var. oleracea. The record is from RNAcentral. Lineage: Eukaryota; Viridiplantae; Streptophyta; Magnoliopsida; Brassicales; Brassicaceae.